GCGUUGUUCGGAUUCAUUGGGCGUAAAGGGUGCGUAGGUGGCGGGGUAAGUCAGAUGUGAAAUUUCGGAGCUCAACUCCGAAACUGCAUUUGAUACUGCCUUGCUUGAGGACUGGAGAGGAGACUGGAAUUUACGGUGUAGCGGUGAGAUGCGUAGAUAUCGUAAGGAAGACCAGUGGCGGAGGCGGGUCUCUGGACAGUUCCUGACACUGAGGCACGAAGGCCAG
RNAcentral lists this ribosomal RNA (226 nucleotides) under uncultured bacterium. RNAcentral's name for it is "partial 16S ribosomal RNA". It matches the Rfam family "Bacterial small subunit ribosomal RNA", at positions 538 to 763 of the family's 1533-position model. The record is from RNAcentral.